RNAcentral lists this ribosomal RNA (279 nucleotides) under uncultured bacterium. Its description in RNAcentral is "partial 16S ribosomal RNA". It matches the Rfam family "Bacterial small subunit ribosomal RNA", at positions 506 to 784 of the family's 1533-position model. The record is from RNAcentral.
UGCCAGCCGCCGCGGUAAUACGGAGGGUGCAAGCGUUGCUCGGAAUCACUAGGCGUAAAGGGUGCGUAGGCGGCCUUGUCAGUCAGAUGUGAAAGCCCUCGGCUCAACCGAGGAACUGCAUUUGAAACUGGCGAACUUGAGUACGGGAGAGGAAAGUGGAAUUCCGAGUGUAGGGGUGAAAUCCGUAGAUAUUCGGAGGAACACCAGUGGCGAAGGCGGCUUUCUGGACCGAUACUGACGCUGAGACGCGAAAGCGUGGGGAGCAAACAGGAUUAGAUA